This 222-nucleotide ribosomal RNA is filed under the name uncultured bacterium. Its description in RNAcentral is "partial 16S ribosomal RNA". It matches the Rfam family "Bacterial small subunit ribosomal RNA", at positions 57 to 305 of the family's 1533-position model. The record is from RNAcentral.
GCAAGUCGAGCGCAGUCCUUCGGGACCGAGCGGCGGACGGGUUAGUAACGCGUGGGAAUGUACCCUUCUCUAAGGAAUAGCCUCGGGAAACUGAGAGUAAUACCUUAUACGCCCUUCGGGGGAAAGAUUUAUCGGAGAAGGAUCAGCCCGCGUUGGAUUAGGUAGUUGGUGGGGUAAUGGCCCACCAAGCCGACGAUCCAUAGCUGGUUUGAGAGGAUGAUC